Molecule: ribosomal RNA, 252 nt
Filed under: uncultured bacterium
Lineage: Bacteria
Description: partial 16S ribosomal RNA
Rfam family: Bacterial small subunit ribosomal RNA
Source: RNAcentral
UACGAAGGGGGCUAGCGUUGCUCGGAAUCACUGGGCGUAAAGCGCACGUAGGCGGAUUGCUAAGUCAGGGGUGAAAUCCUGGAGCUCAACUCCAGAACUGCCUUUGAUACUGGCGAUCUCGAGUCCGGGAGAGGUGAGUGGAACUGCGAGUGUAGAGGUGAAAUUCGUAGAUAUUCGCAAGAACACCAGUGGCGAAGGCGCUCACUGGCCCGGUACUGACGCUGAGGUGCGAAAGCGUGGGGAGCAAACAGG